Fukomys damarensis (Damara mole-rat) is the source of this 1749-nucleotide long non-coding RNA. RefSeq lists it as uncharacterized. The transcript has 4 exons. The record is from RefSeq and is a predicted model, not a curated record. NCBI's taxonomy places the organism in Eukaryota, Metazoa, Chordata, Mammalia, Rodentia, Bathyergidae.
UUGCCUGACUUUAAUCUGUACCUUUUCUGCAUAGUAAGCUGUGAACCCUGGAAGAACAGUUUCACGGUGAGUUCUGAGUCAGAGAGCUGUCAAACCGAGGGUGGCCUCGGGACCGUUUGGACUUGGAGUUGUGUCAGAUGAGGGUGGUCUCGGAGACCGUUCCCGCUACCUUUGCAGUCGGCUGACUUCGCAGGGAGCCUCAGCCCCUGGGGGACACUUAGGAAGAAUAUGCCGAGCAGUGGGCAGAUGUGUGAGUUCCUUCCGUGCAGUCCUUGCUGUUGCGGGUCACUCAGCCGAGCUCCUGAUGCGGAGAAACCUCCCUCCUGGUGAUUCCUCAGUGCCUCCCUUCACUGGAGACGGACGGCGGCUCUCCGGGAAGCAGAUUGUCCUCGCAAGGAUCUGUUCCUGUCCCGGUGGAUUCACAUGCACAGAUUGCCCAGACACAAGCACAGGCUCUCGGUGGGAGCCCUGAUCCCUGUCUGCGCAGCACCCAUGGUUCCGGAGGUCAGUGCGCCAGAGGCACCGAUUCCCAAAGCACACAAAGGAGGUGGAGGACACCAGGACUGGUGGGAGCCGCUGACGACAACCUUCAGGUUGACCGAGCUCAGGUUGCUGUCAUGCUGGUUGGCUGCCGAAGCGGCUUCUGCUUUGUGUCCGGCAACUUCAGGGGUGGAACCCGCAGAGGGACUAGCCCAAGAGCUGUCCUCGGUUGUAUGCAUGCUUCUUAUAGCCACAGGGAGAGCAGCGUACAGAUGUUGAGGAUCCUGGGCUUGGCCAAGGCUAAUAAAGAGGCUAUUUUCUUUUUCAUGAAUCAAUUUAAUAUUCCUGGCCAGCUAGAAGCACCUGGUUAACUCAAUAUACAGGUAUGUGGCUUCUGCCUGUGCCCUCAACUGUUAAACCCUGCAGCUACAGAGAUGAUUAAGACAGACUCUAGCCUCGUCAGUCUGGGGUGAGUUCAACGGGGCCCCCUGGCCACCAUGGAGCUCCGGUAAAGGUGAGCUUGCUCGAUCCAUCCUGUUCAUCAUCUCACAGCAGCUCUGCUUUUUACAUCUGAACCCAGGAAGCACAGACGCUGUUCCUCAAGACGAUGCCACAGAUCCUGUCACACACAACAGCUCGAGUGAAGCCGUUUCAGCCCAGCUUCCACAGACAGCUGUGGAGGAUCAGAUGCCAGCUCUGCGCAUUGGCACAGCUGUGGCCAGGGCCCAGCUAGGUGCAAAGGGAAUGUGCUGCUGAUUUGCUUCUUGGAUUUAAGCGGAGGAUGUCUUUGCUGACGGUUUCGUGACGGGAGCACCCUGAAGCCCCUCUCGCUGCCACGUCUGGAACUCCGGCAGGACCUUGUGCUUGUGAGGCAGGCCGCGGAAGCACUGAGCUAAAUCUCCGGCUCCAGGACAUUUAUUUCAGGGCAACGGCUCACAGGACAGUGGACACUAAGAAGUUUGGCUUGUGUGACAAGUACCAAGCAGACAGCAAGUACUGCAACAAAAUGCAUCAGAGUGAAUCGAAUACCAAAUCCGACAAGUUUCAAAGCACUUAAAUACUCAUCUGUGACCAUAGAACACAACUGCGGGGUAAGUAAGGCUCCCUGUCAGAGACGGGGUGUAGGGGAGCCUCUCUGUGAAACGGGGAGAGGGGUCAAAGCCAGGGUAGCAACAGAGUGACACUUUCUCCUGGACGUCGUUAGGCUGUGGAAGAGGAGUUAGAUUGGGACAACAGAGUGUUACUUAAAGUGGAUCCCAAACUGGCUGG